UAAGUUUGUUGAGGGGUAAUUGGCUUGUCAUUUCAAUUACUUAAACCCCUGUAGUUUUAGAUGAGAACGUCCUUAAAACCUUAUCUUCCCACUCCCCCUUGGCAAUUUUUUAUUCUUUUUCUAUUUUUCAGACCCCUCCCAAAAUAAAUAAAUAGUUAGAGAAUAGAGACAGUUACAAUCUAAUAAAAAAGAAAUAAUGUCCUUUCGCAAAAAAAAGAGAUUGUCCCAAUUCAUGACAAUGAUGAAGCCGCAUAUGCUACAGCCAACAUUCAUUCCUGUAGCAUUUUCAACUUCACCUCAAAUCAAAUCGAAUCAAGAUGUCGACGAAGAAUGCAUAAUGAUAAUAAAUAAUAAUAAUAAAACGGUGGCCAAAAUCAAAUUUGAAAGGUUUGACGCCUCAAAUAAGAUUUCCAGUUGCCUCGCUGGUUUCAGCUAAUGGCGUCCCGGCGCCCGGAGUGCAUUUCUCCAGUUGCAGAAUACCUCUUAAUCAAAGGUGUAAUUAUGCUGCGGAAUUGGGCUAUUUGCUUGACUGCUUGGGGCGAGGAAAGAGUUAAUGCCCUUUUGUACUUUGGUUGUGCAGUAAUUGGAGGGAAGUGUAAUGAUUUCCCUUUAUUGGCUGAUGUGCUUUAACUAAUUCUGCGCAAGCCCUCUGAGAAUCUUCAGCUUCAACCAUGUGGAUCUUGAAGACAGGUUGAAUUGGACUGAUAUAGAAUGACGGCAUCUUGAAACUGACCAAAACUAAAAGCUGUCGACAGCCUAGAUUGAAACUGGAGCUUUCCCCUUAUAGAAAACCAUGGUUUUUUUCACUCCGAUCACUCGGUUAUCCGAUGAAUAAACAUAACCAGGUGAGCCAGUGGCCUUCCAGUAUCCAGAUGCUGUAGUGCGGCUUGGUCUCCCUCCUCUCGCUUCUCUUUCUUGUCUUGGCGUAAAGAAGAACCAUUGCUCAGUGUCUCCUUGACAUAGUUCUCCAGCAAGCUCUGCAACACAUUUCAAGAAACAAACUUUAAGAUUGCAGUUUGGGGACACCAUGGAAUAGCUUAUAUGUGAAUCAUACAUUUUGUAGUAAAGAAACAUGAAAAUAUGUUAAGAGUUAUAAGGAGCGACCUGAGAAGUCAUAAUGGGCAGUGCAAUCAAGGCAUGAAACCUUGGCUUUGAGGACUUGGGAUGUGGAGAAUUGAAUCCCUGAAAGAGACAAAGCAAAGAGCAACACAACAACAGCAGGAGUGGAAGCCAUGGAAGCCAAAUAGAACUCUGUAUGAAAAACAGAUGGGGAUGGAGCGGCUUAUAAAUAAGCAGAGCAUCGAAAGGCAGCAUAUUUAAUAAAUGGCCGGUCCCAAUGCCAAGGGCAGUAGCUGGUGUGUAUAAAUGUAGGUGCAAUUAAUUUUACUUCUGUACAUCCGUGAAGAUAGAAUUGCCAGUCAACAUAUUUCUUUUAUUAAGGUCAGUCCUCCCUCCUGACAGAUGAAGCAUCCAACGAGAAUUUCACUUAUAAUUUGCACUGCCCAUUUGAUAAUUCCGAUCGAUGACACUAGCGCCAACAACUACUUUUCAUUAAUGGAGUUCACAGAGCUUGCUUAUCCAUUUAGUCUUUUGUUAAAUAGUUGGCUGUGAUUUUCCUUUGUAAAUAUCAUAAUAUCUAGUGGUAGUAGACACAUGACUGAAGAAACCGAAACACCAUCCGCAAACUGUUAAAUGAGAAUAUAAAAUUAGCUUUAUAUCUCUAUUGUAAUCCUAAAUGAGAUUGUACAUAUUUUUUAAAUAUUAUAGAGACUCUGAUAUCGUCA
Ricinus communis (castor bean) is the source of this 1784-nucleotide long non-coding RNA. RefSeq lists it as uncharacterized. NCBI's taxonomy places the organism in Eukaryota, Viridiplantae, Streptophyta, Magnoliopsida, Malpighiales, Euphorbiaceae. The transcript has 6 exons. The record is from RefSeq and is a predicted model, not a curated record.